This 29-nucleotide non-coding RNA is filed under the name Mus musculus (house mouse). Lineage: Eukaryota; Metazoa; Chordata; Mammalia; Rodentia; Muridae. The record is from RNAcentral.
CACCUGGUGUACUUCAUAAGCCUCCGCGG